UCUUUAUUUCCUAAGCCCGCAAUUUCUAUCUCAAGCCCCAAAAUAGCCAACAAACCUUUCUCUUCUUUUUCUUCUCCAAAACCCAAAAACCUAGCGAAAGGAAGAUUAAAAUCAAAAGUUUUUUGUUAGAUUUUGAGGAAUAAAAGAGAGGAACGAAGAAGAAGAAGAAGAGAUAAAAGGGGUUGGGAAAUGGAUUCAGAUCAGGGAAAGCUGUUCAUUGGUGGGAUACCAUGGGAAACAAGCGAGGAUAAGCUUAGGGAACACUUUAGCCAAUACGGCGACGUUUUGCAGACAGUUAUUAUGAGAGAUAAGGUUACCGGAAGACCUCGAGGGUUUGGAUUCGUCGUCUUCUCAGAUCCUGCCAUUCUCGAUACCGUUCUUCAAGAAAAACACAGCAUCGAUGGGAGAAUGGUCGAGGCAAAGAGGGCUUUAUCAAGAGAGGAGCAGCAAACUUCUGCUAGGUCUGGAAAUUUUAAUCAGGGUAGAAAUUCUGGAAGUGGUGGAAAUAUCAGGACCAAGAAGAUUUUUGUUGGAGGGUUGCCUCCUACCUUAACUGAAGAUGGAUUUCGCCAAUACUUUGAGGCAUAUGGUCAUGUAACUGAUGUAGUAAUAAUGUAUGACCAGAAUACUCAGCGGCCUCGUGGAUUUGGUUUUAUCUCAUUUGACGCUGAAGAUGCUGUUGAUAGGGUUUUGCACAAGAAUUUUCAUGAUUUGAAUGGCAAGCAAGUUGAAGUGAAGCGGGCCCUUCCUAAAGAUGCCAAUCCUGGUGGGGUUAGCCGAACUAUCAGUGGUGGUGCUGGUGGUGGUGGAGGUUACCAGGGCUAUGGUUCUUCUGGUGGGAAUGCGAGUUCUUAUGAUGGUCGUAUGGACUCCAAUAGGUACAUGCAGGCCCAGAGUACUGGAGCUGGCUUUCCACCUUAUGGCUCAUCAGGAUACACAGCUGGUUAUGGUUAUGGUCCCGCUAAUAAUGGUGUCGGUUAUGGUAGUUAUGGCAAUUAUGGUGGUGCAGGUGCUGGUUAUGGUGCCCCUGCAGGUGCUGCUUAUGGGAAUCCUACUGCUGGUUAUCCAAGUGGCCCUCCUGGUGCACCUAGAAGCUCAUGGGGCGCUCAAACUCCUUCUGGUUAUGGUACUAUGGGUUAUGGAAAUGCUGCUUCUUGGGGUGCCCCAGGUGCUGGUGCUGGUAGUGGUGGUCCAGGGUCAGCAGCUACCGGCCAAUCUCCCACUGGAGUUACUGGUUACGGGAGUCAAGGUUAUGGAUAUGGUGGGUAUGGCGGAAAUGAUGGAUCUUAUGGGAAUGCUGGGUAUGGGGCUGUUGGAGGUCGUUCUGGUGUUACUCCAAAUAUUAAUCCUGGUUCGGGCGGGGGAGAUCUACAAGGAAGUGGUGGUGGCUACAUAGGAAGUGGAUAUAGUGAUGCAAAUGGAAAUUCAGGGUAUGGAAAUGCAUCAUGGAGGUCUGAUUCAUCACAAGGUUCUGGAAAUUAUGGGGGCACUCAGUCAAAUGGUCCUCAUGGUGGACAAGGUGGUUAUGGUGGUGGGUACGGUGGUGCUCAGGGCCGACAAGCUCAACAACAGUGAUUCAAUCACUUGAAAGACAACUUGAUUUCAACCUCUUCUGUGGAUAGCCUUCUCUUUGCUCUUGUGGUGAUGGUUUCUUAUUCCCAGCAGCAACGGGAGAGGCUCAAUUUGGAUGUCUAAUCACCUUGGGACCGGAGGAGAGAUGCUUGAGAGUUCAAAGGUGGAGUCAAGUGUCUACUCAGGGCUGAACCCGAGCUUCGUGGUGGGGGUUUUUCAAUGUGGGGUUUGUUCAUCCGAGGACUUGCUCAGUUGAAAUUUUGAGUUAACAUGGGAGAGGCCCUUCCCCAUCCAGUUGCUGCCAACUCUUCCAACUCUUGGCUUUUGAAUUUGUGAAGCAAACGGUCUGGGGUAUGUUGACUCAAAGCUGUUAGCUGUCUGGCAGAUUAAGAUACAUUAUUCUCUUAUUACUUGGGGUGCCUUUUGAUUCUUUAGAGUAGAUCUUACAGUGUGAUUUCUGAUCAAUAGAGCCUUAGAAAAGCAUGUCCUUUAAGAGUUCCUGUUAGUUUUGGAAUGAAUUAUUGAGUUUUCCCUAACAUUUAAUGCUGGGGCCAUUCUUUCCUUCCACAGGCAAUAGGUUAAAUUCUUCUGAUUGGUAUUGGUAACGUCGUAUGAUUCAUAAUUGCUCAUUAUUCUCGGUCACAUCAUGAGUCAAGACCCCAAUUUUGUUUUCCUGUCUGUACAUUUUAGGUAACAAACCAAUAAUUCAGUGGAAGAGGGGCUUUUAGUAGUUUUGAAUGUCAACCUAGGCAGUCGAAUUGAGUUUUGGUUGAUGGAAGGAUUCAAGACUGAUGCUGAAAGCUUUCAUUUUCAGGAUUUUAAUUGGACGAUGAGACGUAUGGUUCAAAUGUUGUUAAUCACUAGUAAUGACUUGGUGACUGAAUGGCAGCAUCUAUGUAUAUGUAUAUAGAUAGAAACUCAGCUUCUCUCUUAUCAUUGGAAUCGGGCAGUUUAAGAAGAUAUGUAAGGUCGGAGUUUGAAUCCCAUCAUCUCCAUUUCCUUAAUAAUACAGGGAAAAAAAAAAAAAAA
Durio zibethinus is the source of this 2601-nucleotide RNA transcript. It is a transcript of the gene named heterogeneous nuclear ribonucleoprotein 1-like, with no coding region annotated. Lineage: Eukaryota; Viridiplantae; Streptophyta; Magnoliopsida; Malvales; Malvaceae. The record is from RefSeq and is a predicted model, not a curated record.